Molecule: long non-coding RNA, 1633 nt
Organism: Pyrgilauda ruficollis (rufous-necked snowfinch)
Lineage: Eukaryota; Metazoa; Chordata; Aves; Passeriformes; Passeridae
Exons: 3
Source: RefSeq, a predicted model, not a curated record
GGGCGCGGGGCUGCCGUGAGGGAGGGCGGCGGUGCGGCCGCCCCGGUCCCGGCCCUUUUCCCUUCCCGCCCGGCUCCGGGCAGCGCCGAGGCUGCUGCUCUCCUCCGCGCGGCGCUGGAGGCCAGGAACGCUUCCCUGUGAGCGCGGUGCCCUGCAGGUUCCUCUGUCAGAGCCGAGCUUUGUAUUCCUGAGAGGGAGCACUGACGCCCCCCGCCCCACACACACACACACACGCAGAGCCGGGAGUGCGGAGGUUCGGGGCGGCCGCUCGGUGCUGCGGGGCCGGUGUCGCAGCGAGUGACCCGGCUUGUGAGGCGAAGCCUCGCACGGAGAUUGACGGCCUGAGUGGUUAUUGAGGAAAUCCAUGGCAUUUCUUUCUGUUUCAUCAGCAUCCCCCGCCAGCCCCGGCUGUGCGUGCACUCACGCAAGAUGAGUACAGAGUAAGGAAUUGUUUCCCUCUGGGUGCAAGAGCGGUGAAGCAGCGAGGUACCAUGGGCCACCUCCCUCACACAAGCAAGGAAUAAAUGGUUGCAGCUGUGGGGUGUUUUGUGGAAGGUGGAGAGGGCUGCUUGCUGCCUGGUGCUGUCCCUACACCCAGCGCAUUUCAGGGAUAACAUAACCAGGGUGAGAAAAGGUUUCUGAAAACACUACAGCUGCUGAGAAUGGAAGCUAUUCUGAAGUGCUAUGAAAAGAAAGUCACUAAAGAUGGAGUCCACCUCGUUUCCUUGUGAUUCUGACAGACUGAAGACUGUAUCCCCUCAAAAAAGCAGGUGGGGCAAUAUGGAGCAUUUACACCAAAACUGAAGUUUUUAAACCACAUAGAAGACAGUGGAAAGAAGCCUAAGUUCCUACCAGAAGAACACAGCAAAGGAACAGGGUUUGUGACUGAUGGUCUGUCCUUGCCUGAAGAACCGGAGGGAUACAGGAUCUGGCACACAGUCAUGGCCUGGGGGGCAGAACAGCAGAUGGAUCACCUUGGCUGUGUGGCAGUUGCCUUGUCCUUGCUUACAGCAAGAGCCUUGUGGUGCAAGGAUGGAAUGUUCCUGUCAAUCCAGCAAAUGUUCCAGGGUGUCCUCCAUUUAAUUAGGCCUAGGAACACUAUUUUCCCCAACAUCCAUAAAUUACUUAUUCCCAUGAAGUGUGACUUCUGUUUUUAAUCACUUAUGAAAACAGUACUAGAUACAGCCAUGCUAAGUUUAAUAAAUAGGCAUUUUAUAUUUUAAUAAAUAGGCAUUGUAUCGAGCUGCUGAAAACCUGCUGGGCUGAAAGCAUGGGCUGAAGGUGGAGCUGGGGGCAGCCAGGUUGUGUGGUGAGGGAUCAGCGUGAUCCUGUGCAGUUCAUGUCUUUUAGAGCCAUUAGGGAAAGAAAUGGUGAAAUUUUAGGCCUAAACAUUUCUCUGUUAAUUCCUACUGCAUCUUGAGAUGGGGUACAGUGUCUCUCAGCUGUUUGUAAGUAUUUAAAAUACCUUCUCCUCUUUGCUAUGUGACUGCAGCAGAUUGCCUGCCUUAUCCUGGGAGAUAAAGGCAUGCUGGCUGCAGUGGAAGAUAAUGCUUCCCAGGGAGUUUGUGUUUCAUUGCACAAUCAAUUGUCUUGCAAGGUCCUUGGGGUGUGAUUAUCUUAAGUUUCAGCUUGA